RNAcentral lists this ribosomal RNA (269 nucleotides) under uncultured bacterium. RNAcentral's name for it is "partial 16S ribosomal RNA". It matches the Rfam family "Bacterial small subunit ribosomal RNA", at positions 88 to 354 of the family's 1533-position model. The record is from RNAcentral.
CCGGCGACCGGCGCACGGGUGAGUAACACGUAUGCGACCUGCCCCCCGCAGGGGAUAACCGGGAGAAAUCCCGACUAAUACCGCGUAACGCCGCGGACCUGCAUGGGUCUGCGGCCAAAGGAAGCGAUUCCGGCGGGGGAUGGGCAUGCGGCGCAUUAGCUAGUCGGCGGGGUAACGGCCCACCGAGGCGACGAUGCGUAGGGGUUCUGAGAGGAAGGUCCCCCACACUGGUACUGAGACACGGACCAGACUCCUACGGGAGGCAGCAG